UACAGAGGUCUCAAGCGUUGUUCGGAUUCAUUGGGCGUAAAGGGUGUGUAGGUGGCGCGCUAAGUCGGGUGUGAAAUUUCGGAGCUUAACUCCGAAACUGCAUUCGAUACUGCGGUGCUUGAGGACUGGAGAGGAGACUGGAAUUCAUGGUGUAGCAGUGAAAUGCGUAGAGAUCGGGAGGAACACCAGUGGCGAAGGCGGCUACCUGGACCAGCACUGACACUGAGGCACGAAAGCGUGGGGAGCAAACAGG
This 253-nucleotide ribosomal RNA is filed under the name uncultured bacterium. Its description in RNAcentral is "partial 16S ribosomal RNA". It matches the Rfam family "Bacterial small subunit ribosomal RNA", at positions 524 to 776 of the family's 1533-position model. The record is from RNAcentral.